This 433-nucleotide ribosomal RNA is filed under the name uncultured bacterium. Its description in RNAcentral is "partial 16S ribosomal RNA". It matches the Rfam family "Bacterial small subunit ribosomal RNA", at positions 29 to 507 of the family's 1533-position model. The record is from RNAcentral.
AACGAACGCUGGCGGCAUGCCUAACACAUGCAAGUCGAACGAGACCUUCGGGUCUAGUGGCGCACGGGUGCGUAACGCGUGGGAACCUGCCCUUAGGUUCGGAAUAACUCCCCGAAAGGGGUGCUAAUACCGGAUAAUGUCUUCGGACCAAAGAUUUAUCGCCUUUGGAUGGGCCCGCGUUGGAUUAGCUAGUUGGUAGGGUAAAAGCCUACCAAGGCGACGAUCCAUAGCUGGUCUGAGAGGAUGAUCAGCCACACUGGGACGGAGACACGGCCCAGACUCCUACGGGAGGCAGCAGUGGGGAAUAUUGGACUAUGGGCGAAAGCCUGAUCCAGCAAUGCCGCGUGAGUGAUGAAGGCCUUAGGGUUGUAAAGCUCUUUUACCCGGGAUGAUAAUGACAGUACCGGGAGAAUAAGCACCGGCUAACUCCGUG